GGAGCCGGAGCCAGUCCCCUCCCGCAGCUUAUCUCCGCGACCGAGAAGGAGGAACUUGGCCUUUAAGAACAAGGAAUCUGAGGUCCAGAGUACCAGGAAUUGAACUCACAACCUUGUGCUUGCCAGGCAGGCACUGUGCCGCUGAGCUAAAUCCCCAGCCCCAAGAGGUUUAAUUUUUGAUAGAUGAACCCAAGAAGUAUGUCUCCAUAAUUUGACAGCUGUGGCAUCCCUUGUUUGUCAAGGACAGCCUCGAUGCUGAGCUGAGUCUCCACUGAGAACAACGUCUCUGCUGGUGAACAGGUUGGGUGCUGGGAGAGUCAUGUCUGAUUCAAACCUUACAAAAGGGAGUUACCCAAGUUUGCUGUUUUGGGAGAAGGAAAUAAAAAAAAGGUAAAUAAACCAGACUUUGUGUUC
Chinchilla lanigera (long-tailed chinchilla) is the source of this 414-nucleotide long non-coding RNA. RefSeq lists it as uncharacterized. The record is from RefSeq and is a predicted model, not a curated record. The transcript has 3 exons. Lineage: Eukaryota; Metazoa; Chordata; Mammalia; Rodentia; Chinchillidae.